RNAcentral lists this small RNA (28 nucleotides) under Bombyx mori (domestic silkworm). Its description in RNAcentral is "ovarian small RNA-15076". Lineage: Eukaryota; Metazoa; Arthropoda; Insecta; Lepidoptera; Bombycidae. The record is from RNAcentral.
GAAAGUGUCGAACAACUCACCUGGUCCC